Molecule: ribosomal RNA, 253 nt
Filed under: uncultured bacterium
Lineage: Bacteria
Description: partial 16S ribosomal RNA
Rfam family: Bacterial small subunit ribosomal RNA
Source: RNAcentral
AACGUAGGGUGCAAGCGUUGUCCGGAAUUACUGGGUGUGAAGGGAGCGCAGGCGGACCGGCAAGUUGGAAGUGAAAUCCAUGGGCUCAACCCGUGAAUUGCUUUCAAAACUGCUGGCCUUGAGUAGUGCAGAGGUAGGUGGAAUUCCCGGUGUAGCGGUGGAAUGCGUAGAUAUCGGGAGGAACACCAGUGGCGAAGGCGACCUACUGGGCACCAACUGACGCUGAGGCUCGAAAGCAUGGGUAGCAAACAGG